Long non-coding RNA from Panicum hallii, 833 nucleotides. RefSeq lists it as uncharacterized. The transcript has 4 exons. The record is from RefSeq and is a predicted model, not a curated record. NCBI's taxonomy places the organism in Eukaryota, Viridiplantae, Streptophyta, Magnoliopsida, Poales, Poaceae.
GAAGUUCGCACAGGUGUAGCGCCGAGUGAUAUUCAGGUCUACCUCGAAGGUCAUAGAGGACGUGAUCCUACAAAUCCAGAUCAGUUAUGCUCUCAGGUGGCUACAGAGCGUCUGGCGGCAUAUGGUGACCAAAUGAUUGCUCGCCAUGGAGAGGGUUAUGAUUGGAGAAACGCGCCUAUUGAUCCUGAGGCCGUUUACAGUAGUGGUGGUGGAAAACCUCAUGGCCGGUAUCCAUUAUUCGACAAAGUCGUUGACUCGAGUCAGGUGCCGUCGCGUCAAAGAGCGGGAUCGUCGCGGUCAGCAAGUCGCAGCACAAGUAGUGGCGACGACAGCGCGGAGGUUGUAAGGCUGUGUGAAAGAGUAAGACAACAGGAGCUACAGCAGCAGUGGUUCCAAGCUCAACUUGCACAACAGAAUGCAAUACUGCAAGUAAAUCUUAAUUGUUACAACUUAGGUUAAGUUACAUUCUUGCUGACAAAUUUGAUCUUUCAGCAAAUAGAGACCCAACAGAAUAUACAACUGCCACCACUGGUACCUCCACCUUUUGCACAGGCCGGUUGGCCAUCAGUUUCACCUCAGCUUUUUCACACCCCACCACCUAACCUAGCGGCACCGGGAGACUCACACGUUGAUCCAACAUCGAAUUGGGCGGAUCAAUUCAUUGGAAGUGGCGGAUCAGUUCAACCAGGUGAUGGAGGCGGCCAAACUUAAGUGAAACAUUAGUGUUCUAUGAAUUUGUUCUAUAUGAUACUUGUAUCAAGUUUGUGAACUUUGAUUAUGAACCUCUGAAGUUUACGUAUGUGGAUAUAUGAAUUGUGUACUUGCCUGCAAUU